UUGCAGUUAAAAAGCUCGUAGUUGGAUUUCUGCGGGGGCGGGGCGGCCGGAUGCUUAUAGCAUCUCGAGCUAGCACUUCCCCCGCAUCCUGCCGCGAACCGUGCUACCAUUAGUUUGGUGGCGCUGGGGAUCGGCUCGUUUACUUUGAGAAAAAUAGAGUGUUCAAAGCAGGCCACACGCCUUGAAUAAGUUAGCAUGGAAUAAUGAUAAAGGACCUCGGUUCUAUUUUGUUGGUGUUCGGGACUGAAGUAAUGAUUGAUAGGGACAGUUGGGGCGGUCAGUAUUCCAAAGCGAGAGGUGAAAUUCUUAGACCUUCGGAAGACUAACAGCUGCGAAAGCGUUCCGCAAGGAUGUUCCCUUUGAUCAAGAACGAAAGUUGGGGGAUCGAAGACGAUCAGAUACCGUCGUAGUCUCAACUAUAAACUAUACCAGCUAGGGAUCGGCCGACGUUUACUUAUAUCGACUCGGUCGGCACCUUAUGAGAAAUCAAAGCAUCUGGGUCCCGGGGGGAGUAUGGUCGCAAGGCUGAAACUUA
Molecule: ribosomal RNA, 535 nt
Filed under: uncultured marine eukaryote
Lineage: Eukaryota
Description: bacterial SSU rRNA
Rfam family: Eukaryotic small subunit ribosomal RNA
Source: RNAcentral